RNAcentral lists this ribosomal RNA (2900 nucleotides) under Klebsiella pneumoniae. Its description in RNAcentral is "bacterial LSU rRNA". It matches the Rfam family "Bacterial large subunit ribosomal RNA". The record is from RNAcentral. Lineage: Bacteria; Pseudomonadati; Pseudomonadota; Gammaproteobacteria; Enterobacterales; Enterobacteriaceae.
UUAAGCGACUAAGCGUACACGGUGGAUGCCCUGGCAGUCAGAGGCGAUGAAGGACGUGCUAAUCUGCGAAAAGCGUCGGUAAGGUGAUAUGAACCGUUAUAGCCGGCGAUGUCCGAAUGGGGAAACCCAGUGCAAUUCGUUGCACUAUCGUUAACUGAAUACAUAGGUUAACGAGGCGAACCGGGGGAACUGAAACAUCUAAGUACCCCGAGGAAAAGAAAUCAACCGAGAUUCCCCCAGUAGCGGCGAGCGAACGGGGGAGCAGCCCAGAGUCUGAAUCAGCUUGUGUGUUAGUGGAACGGUCUGGAAAGUCCGACGGUACAGGGUGAUAGUCCCGUACACCAAAAUGCACAGGUUGUGAACUCGAAGAGUAGGGCGGGACACGUGGUAUCCUGUCUGAAUAUGGGGGGACCAUCCUCCAAGGCUAAAUACUCCUGACUGACCGAUAGUGAACCAGUACCGUGAGGGAAAGGCGAAAAGAACCCCGGCGAGGGGAGUGAAAAAGAACCUGAAACCGUGUACGUACAAGCAGUGGGAGCACCUUCGGGUGUGACUGCGUACCUUUUGUAUAAUGGGUCAGCGACUUAUAUUCUGUAGCAAGGUUAACCGUAUAGGGGAGCCGCAGGGAAACCGAGUCUUAACUGGGCGUUAAGUUGCAGGGUAUAGACCCGAAACCCGGUGAUCUAGCCAUGGGCAGGUUGAAGGUUGGGUAACACUAACUGGAGGACCGAACCGACUAAUGUUGAAAAAUUAGCGGAUGACUUGUGGCUGGGGGUGAAAGGCCAAUCAAACCGGGAGAUAGCUGGUUCUCCCCGAAAGCUAUUUAGGUAGCGCCUCGUGAAUUCAUCUUCGGGGGUAGAGCACUGUUUCGGCUAGGGGGUCAUCCCGACUUACCAACCCGAUGCAAACUACGAAUACCGAAGAAUGUUAUCACGGGAGACACACGGCGGGUGCUAACGUCCGUCGUGAAGAGGGAAACAACCCAGACCGCCAGCUAAGGUCCCAAAGUCAUGGUUAAGUGGGAAACGAUGUGGGAAGGCACAGACAGCCAGGAUGUUGGCUUAGAAGCAGCCAUCAUUUAAAGAAAGCGUAAUAGCUCACUGGUCGAGUCGGCCUGCGCGGAAGAUGUAACGGGGCUAAACCAUGCACCGAAGCUGCGGCAGCGACACUAUGUGUUGUUGGGUAGGGGAGCUUCUGUAAGCCUGCGAAGGUGUGCUGUGAGGCAUGCUGGAGGUAUCAGAAGUGCGAAUGCUGACAUAAGUAACGAUAAAGCGGGUGAAAAGCCCGCUCGCCGGAAGACCAAGGGUUCCUGUCCAACGUUAAUCGGGGCAGGGUGAGUCGACCCCUAAGGCGAGGCCGAAAGGCGUAGUCGAUGGGAAACAGGUUAAUAUUCCUGUACUUGGUGUUACUGCGAAGGGGGGACGGAGAAGGCUAUGUUAGCCGGGCGACGGUUGUCCCGGUUUAAGCAUGUAGGCUGGUUAUCCAGGCAAAUCCGGAUAAUCAAGGCUGAGGUGUGAUGACGAGGCACUACGGUGCUGAAGUAACAAAUGCCCUGCUUCCAGGAAAAGCCUCUAAGCAUCAGGUAACAUCAAAUCGUACCCCAAACCGACACAGGUGGUCAGGUAGAGAAUACCAAGGCGCUUGAGAGAACUCGGGUGAAGGAACUAGGCAAAAUGGUGCCGUAACUUCGGGAGAAGGCACGCUGGUGUGUAGGUGAAGCCCCUGCGGGUGGAGCUGAGACCAGUCGAAGAUACCAGCUGGCUGCAACUGUUUAUUAAAAACACAGCACUGUGCAAACACGAAAGUGGACGUAUACGGUGUGACGCCUGCCCGGUGCCGGAAGGUUAAUUGAUGGGGUUAUCCGUAAGGAGAAGCUCUUGAUCGAAGCCCCGGUAAACGGCGGCCGUAACUAUAACGGUCCUAAGGUAGCGAAAUUCCUUGUCGGGUAAGUUCCGACCUGCACGAAUGGCGUAAUGAUGGCCAGGCUGUCUCCACCCGAGACUCAGUGAAAUUGAACUCGCUGUGAAGAUGCAGUGUACCCGCGGCAAGACGGAAAGACCCCGUGAACCUUUACUAUAGCUUGACACUGAACAUUGAGCCUUGAUGUGUAGGAUAGGUGGGAGGCUUUGAAGCGUGGACGCCAGUCUGCGUGGAGCCAACCUUGAAAUACCACCCUUUAAUGUUUGAUGUUCUAACGUUGGCCCCUUACCGGGGUUGCGGACAGUGUCUGGUGGGUAGUUUGACUGGGGCGGUCUCCUCCCAAAGCGUAACGGAGGAGCACGAAGGUUAGCUAAUCCUGGUCGGACAUCAGGAGGUUAGUGCAAUGGCAUAAGCUAGCUUGACUGCGAGCGUGACGGCGCGAGCAGGUGCGAAAGCAGGUCAUAGUGAUCCGGUGGUUCUGAAUGGAAGGGCCAUCGCUCAACGGAUAAAAGGUACUCCGGGGAUAACAGGCUGAUACCGCCCAAGAGUUCAUAUCGACGGCGGUGUUUGGCACCUCGAUGUCGGCUCAUCACAUCCUGGGGCUGAAGUAGGUCCCAAGGGUAUGGCUGUUCGCCAUUUAAAGUGGUACGCGAGCUGGGUUUAGAACGUCGUGAGACAGUUCGGUCCCUAUCUGCCGUGGGCGCUGGAGAAUUGAGGGGGGCUGCUCCUAGUACGAGAGGACCGGAGUGGACGCAUCACUGGUGUUCGGGUUGUCAUGCCAAUGGCACUGCCCGGUAGCUAAAUGCGGAAGAGAUAAGUGCUGAAAGCAUCUAAGCACGAAACUUGCCCCGAGAUGAGUUCUCCCUGAGACUUUAAGUCUCCUGAAGGAACGUUGAAGACGACGACGUUGAUAGGCCGGGUGUGUAAGCGCAGCGAUGCGUUGAGCUAACCGGUACUAAUGAACCGUGAGGCUUAACCUU